UAAAAAAAAAAAAAAAACUUUAAUAGCGGAAAAUUAUCCAACCUGGCAACCCAAGCUGCCUGUCACGGCCGUAUUGUUUAAGCAAAUACGUCAUCACAACAACGGCAGCAUGGACACAGAAGCUGGCAGCUCUCGAAACCAGAGGUUGGUGGGGAAUGAGCCGAAUUCCACACUUGAGUGAUCUCAGUCAAGUGAACACUACAGGAGCAUCCAAACACUGAAGUUGUGUGCACUGAAACAGCACUGGUGGCGAGAUGGCCGUUCCGACAUUCCCGACAAAUGGCGAGACGUUAAUGAAAGGAGACGUCCUCCCCGAGGCUGCCAAUGACUAGUGUAUCCUCACGCUUUAAGACAUUCGUGUCGUUGGAUGUGUGCGCCACAAAAGCCGCGUUGGCAGUCGUACUGUAUGACCCCCCGAGAUGUAACA
Long non-coding RNA from Corythoichthys intestinalis (scribbled pipefish), 427 nucleotides. RefSeq lists it as uncharacterized. Lineage: Eukaryota; Metazoa; Chordata; Actinopteri; Syngnathiformes; Syngnathidae. The transcript has 3 exons. The record is from RefSeq and is a predicted model, not a curated record.